AACGCACGAGACCUGCGGACCUGCGGAAGGAUCAUUAAUGAGAAACUGCCCCUCGCGGGUAGAUCUCCCACCCUUUGUAAACUUACCUUUGUUGCUUUGGCAGGCCCGUCUCCGGACCGCCGGCUUCGGCUGGCCAGUGCCUGCCAGAGGAUUCUAAAACUCUGUCUGUCAGUGUUGUCUGAGUCUAUAUACAAUCGUUAAAACUUUUAGCAACGGAUCUCUAGAUCGGAAGAGCACACG
Molecule: unclassified non-coding RNA, 240 nt
Filed under: soil metagenome
Description: partial contains 5.8S ribosomal RNA, internal transcribed spacer 2, and large subunit ribosomal RNA
Source: RNAcentral